GCCGGGCAUGGUGGCCCAUGCCUGUAAUCCCAGUGGCUAGGGAGGCUAAGUCGGAGGAUCACAGUUCAAAGCUAGCCUCAGCAAGGGUGAGGCGCUUAGCAACUCAAUGAGACCCUGUCUCUA
Molecule: small RNA, 123 nt
Filed under: Marmota monax (woodchuck)
Lineage: Eukaryota; Metazoa; Chordata; Mammalia; Rodentia; Sciuridae
Source: RNAcentral